This 292-nucleotide ribosomal RNA is filed under the name uncultured bacterium. RNAcentral's name for it is "partial 16S ribosomal RNA". It matches the Rfam family "Bacterial small subunit ribosomal RNA", at positions 505 to 796 of the family's 1533-position model. The record is from RNAcentral.
GUGCCAGCCGCCGCGGUAAUACGUAGGGGGCAAGCGUUGUCCGGAAUUAUUGGGCGUAAAGGGCGCGUAGGCGGAUAGUUAAGUCCGGUGUGAAAGAUCAGGGCUCAACCCUGAGAGUGCAUCGGAAACUGGUUAUCUUGAGGACAGGAGAGGAAAGUGGAAUUCCUAGUGUAGCGGUGAAAUGCGUAGAUAUUAGGAGGAACACCAGUGGCGAAGGCGACUUUCUGGACUGUAACUGACGCUGAGGCGCGAAAGCGUGGGGAGCAAACAGGAUUAGAUACCCUCGUAGUCC